Molecule: ribosomal RNA, 320 nt
Filed under: uncultured eukaryote
Lineage: Eukaryota
Description: partial 18S ribosomal RNA
Rfam family: Eukaryotic small subunit ribosomal RNA
Source: RNAcentral
CCCCUAGAUGUUCUGGGCCGCACGCGCGCUACACUGAACAGUUCAACAAGUCUUAACCUUGGCCGAUAGGUCUGGGUAAUCUUUGAACGCUGUUCGUGACUGGGAUAGACCUUUGCAAUUAUGGGUCUUCAACGAGGAAUUCCUAGUAAACGCAAGUCAUCAGCUUGCAUUGAUUACGUCCCUGCCCUUUGUACACACCGCCCGUCGCACCUACCGAUUGAAUGGUCCGGUGAAAUCUCGGGACGGCGGCUUGGUCGCUUGCGUCCGACUGCUGAAACUUGAUUAAACCAUNUNAUUUAUNGGAAGGUGAANUCGUANCA